RNAcentral lists this ribosomal RNA (559 nucleotides) under uncultured Hypocreaceae (aff. Trichoderma). RNAcentral's name for it is "eukaryotic LSU rRNA". The stretch from base 190 to 343 matches the Rfam family "5.8S ribosomal RNA". The record is from RNAcentral. Lineage: Eukaryota; Fungi; Ascomycota; Sordariomycetes; Hypocreales.
CAUUACCGAGUUUACAACUCCCAAACCCAAUGUGAACCAUACCAAACUGUUGCCUCGGCGGGGUCACGCCCCGGGUGCGUCGCAGCCCCGGAACCAGGCGCCCGCCGGAGGGACCAACCAAACUCUUUCUGUAGUCCCCUCGCGGACGUUAUUUCUUACAGCUCUGAGCAAAAAUUCAAAAUGAAUCAAAACUUUCAACAACGGAUCUCUUGGUUCUGGCAUCGAUGAAGAACGCAGCGAAAUGCGAUAAGCAAUGUGAAUUGCAGAAUUCAGUGAAUCAUCGAAUCUUUGAACGCACAUUGCGCCCGCCAGUAUUCUGGCGGGCAUGCCUGUCCGAGCGUCAUUUCAACCCUCGAACCCCUCCGGGGGGUCGGCGUUGGGGAUCGGGAACCCCUAAGACGGGAUCCCGGCCCCGAAAUACAGUGGCGGUCUCGCCGCAGCCUCUCCUGCGCAGUAGUUUGCACAACUCGCACCGGGAGCGCGGCGCGUCCACGUCCGUAAAACACCCAACUUCUGAAAUGUUGACCUCGGAUCAGGUAGGAAUACCCGCUGAACUUAA